This 253-nucleotide ribosomal RNA is filed under the name uncultured bacterium. RNAcentral's name for it is "partial 16S ribosomal RNA". It matches the Rfam family "Bacterial small subunit ribosomal RNA", at positions 524 to 776 of the family's 1533-position model. The record is from RNAcentral.
UACGGAGGGGGCUAGCGUUGUUCGGAAUUACUGGGCGUAAAGCGCGCGUAGGCGGCUUUGUAAGUUAGAGGUGAAAGCCCAGGGCUUAACCCUGGAAUUGCCUUUAAGACUGCAUCGCUAGACUCGUGGAGAGGUGAGUGGAAUUCCGAGUGUAGAGGUGAAAUUCGUAGAUAUUCGGAAGAACACCAGUGGCGAAGGCGGGUCUCUGGGCCAUUACUGACGCUGAGGAGCGAAAGCGUGGGGAGCGAACAGG